CAGCAGCCGCGGUAAAACGUAGGUGGCAAGCGUUGUCCGGAAUUAUUGGGCGUAAAGGGCUCGCAGGCGGUUUCUUAAGUCUGAUGUGAAAGCCCCCGGCUCAACCGGGGAGGGUCAUUGGAAACUGGGAAACUUGAGUGCAGAAGAGGAGAGUGGAAUUCCACGUGUAGCGGUGAAAUGCGUAGAGAUGUGGAGGAACACCAGUGGCGAAGGCGACUCUCUGGUCUGUAACUGACGCUGGGGAGCGAAAGCUAGGGGAGCAAAUGGGAUUAGAUACCCCCGUAGUCCCUGUCUCUUAUAC
This 301-nucleotide ribosomal RNA is filed under the name uncultured bacterium. Its description in RNAcentral is "partial 16S ribosomal RNA". It matches the Rfam family "Bacterial small subunit ribosomal RNA", at positions 509 to 807 of the family's 1533-position model. The record is from RNAcentral.